Long non-coding RNA from Papaver somniferum (opium poppy), 307 nucleotides. RefSeq lists it as uncharacterized. NCBI's taxonomy places the organism in Eukaryota, Viridiplantae, Streptophyta, Magnoliopsida, Ranunculales, Papaveraceae. The record is from RefSeq and is a predicted model, not a curated record. The transcript has 3 exons.
CUUUUCCAAGUCACUUCCCCCAAAUUCUCUCUAAAUCCCGAUUGAUUAUCAGUGUUUUGGAUUUUGAGUUAAAGAAUUCUUGAAAACGGCACAAUCAGUGAUUGAAGUUCCAUCAAAGGGUGGGUUUAGUUUCGAUCUAUGUGUUAGAAACGAUAUGCUCGCCAAGAAAGGUGUUCAACUUCCUUCUUACAGGAAAACGGGUACCACCAUUGUUGGUCUUGUCUACAAGGAUGGUGUUGUUCUUGGAGCGGAUACAAGGGCAACAGAAGGAACCAUUGUUUGUGACAAUAACUGUGAAAAUAUUCAU